This 497-nucleotide ribosomal RNA is filed under the name uncultured bacterium. RNAcentral's name for it is "partial 16S ribosomal RNA". It matches the Rfam family "Bacterial small subunit ribosomal RNA", at positions 28 to 507 of the family's 1533-position model. The record is from RNAcentral.
GAUGAACGCUGGCGGCGUGCCUAAUACAUGCAAGUCGAGCGAACGGACGAGAAGCUUGCUUCUCUGAUGUUAGCGGCGGACGGGUGAGUAACACGUGGAUAACCUACCUAUAAUUCUGGGAUAACUUCGGGAAACCGUAGCUAAUACCGGAUAAUAUUUUGAACCGCAUGGUUCAAAAGUGAAAGACGGUCUUGCUGUCACUUAUAGAUGGAUCCGCGCUGCAUUAGCUAGUUGUUAAGGUAACGGCUUACCAAGGCAACGAUGCAUAGCCGACCUGAGAGGGUGAUCGGCCACACUGGAACUGAGACACGGUCCAGACUCCUACGGGAGGCAGCAGUAGGGAAUCUUCCGCAAUGGGCGAAAGCCUGACGGAGCAACGCCGCGUGAGUGAUGAAGGUCGUCGGAUCGUAAAACUCUGUUAUUAGGGAAGAACAUAUGUGUAAGUAACUGUGCACAUCUUGACGGUACCUAAUCAGAAAGCCACGGCUAACUACGUG